Molecule: long non-coding RNA, 1744 nt
Organism: Balaenoptera ricei (Rice's whale)
Lineage: Eukaryota; Metazoa; Chordata; Mammalia; Artiodactyla; Balaenopteridae
Exons: 6
Source: RefSeq, a predicted model, not a curated record
CUGCGGCCGCUCAGGCUCGGCCCGUCGGGCGAGCAGCCGGCGCCCCCCUCCUCGUACAGGCCGAGGGGGUCGCUGGGGUCGGCGCCCGCGCCCACGCCGCCGACGGGCGAGGACGACGCGCCCAGGCCGCCGAACAGGUCUAAGAAGGCCCCUCCCCCCAGCUUUCAGUUUGGUGUGGAGCAAAAACAACCAAUAGAACUCACUGAAUGAUCAAGCUCUUCCAGAUGAGAAAACCCCCACCACGUGGAAGACAUUAACUGCUUGAUGACCAUGAGCACGUAGCCCUCACGCCUACUGGGACCUAAGGAUUGAGCACAUUAACCCCUGUGACGCCUGUUACCUCACCAUCAACCAAUCAGAGAAUUGUGCACGAGCUGAUCACGUACCCUGGGACGCCCCUCCCUCACCUGGCCUUUAAAGAUACUUUGCUGAAACCCACGGAGGAGUUGCGUGUUUUGAGCACUAGCUGUCUUGGACGCCUUGCUUGGUGCCCUGCAGUAAACGCUGCACAUUCUUUCAUCACAACCAGGCGUCAGUAACUUGGCUUUACUGCGCGUGGGUGAGAGGACCCAAGUUUGGUUGGGUAACAAGGUGGGCUGGAGCGUCCACACACGUGGGAGACGCCUCUCCUAACGCAAGAAAGCACCGGGAGUGAGCAGAGGGGUUGGUCAGGCCAGAAGCUGCUGCCUGUACCGCCGCCUCAUUCUGGCCUAGAAACCCAGAGCAGGGAAGAACCCCACGUUCCAGUUCUGGUCUUGGGAAGGAGGAUUUGUCAAGGAACAGGAAUGCAUGGAUAUAGAGCACGAAGGCAAAAAGAGGCUCUGAAUGUUGUUCAUCUUCAGAAAUUCAUCGUUACAUCCAGCCCCACAGUCUGCUAUUUGGAGCGUUGGUUUUUGGCGUCUACAUUUAAUCUAUUCAUCACCAUCUCAGAAGCCAGAAGGAGAAGAUUCUCACAGCCAAAGACUCUUAUCUGCAGACCUGCCAAAGGAAGUGAUUGCCAAAGGGUCUUUUAAAUGAAGAAUGGAGACAAUCUGUUGCCUUUUUUCAUUCCGAACCACCACGUCUCUUUCGCUAGACUGUGAAGCUCUCCAGGCUAAGGACUCUUUUUCCUUCAUCAUGAUAUUUCCAGCUCAUACAGAAGUUUAUUGCACUUACUUGAUCAUUAAAAUGUUUAGCGAAGAAAAGAAGAAAGCUGCAGCUGUAUUAGUUCAUUGUUGUUGUUGUUGUUGUUUUUAAGUUUAUUCAUUAAAGAUCUGUGGGCUGGGCUUCCCUGGUGGCGCAGUGGUUAAGAAUCCACCUGCCAAUGCAGGGGACACGGGUUCGAUCCCUGGUCUGGGAAGAUCCCACAUACCACAGAGCAACUAAGCCUGUGUGCCACAACUACUGAGCCUGCGCUCUAGAGCCUGGGAGCCACAACUACUGAGCCCACGUGACACAACUACUGAAGCCUGUGCACCUAGAGCCCAUGCUCCACAAAAAGAGAAGCCACUGCAAUGAGAAGCCCGUGCACCAUAACGAAGAGUAGCCCCCGCUCGCCACAACUGGAGAAAGCCUGAGCGCAGCAACAAAGACCCAAUGCAGCCAAAAAUAAAUAAAAUAAAAAUAAAUAAAUUAAAAAAAAAAAGUCUGUGGGCUAACUCCUAGGAGAAUGGUUGAUACAAAACCGAAUAAAACAAACCCUGGUCCUGGUCUAACCUAGUUAGUACAUCCAACUUUCACAUAUUGUUUAAUUUAUAAGGGAAGA